CGAUCCAGCGUUCCUGGAGGAAGGUCACGUACCGGUUACACGCCACCAUUUUGCCCUCAGUGCGCAUGCUUGAGCUCACUCACUCCACUCCUGAGAUCUUACUGGGAUCAUCACCAGUUUCAGUACCUCAAGGUUAUUGCUGUUCUUCACUCUCUUCUGGCCACUGCUCUCGCCUGGCCUCCAUUGCCUUCUCCACAUUUACUUGUUCAAAUGACUCAUUAGCUCCCUGGAACCCUGCAGCACGUCCUCCGCGGGGCACCUCCCACCACCGCUGCGCAGCUCAGCCCUGGACACGUGGACACCUCUCAGAGCGGAACGGAGGGGAAGAGAAAUUCCAGAAGCAAUGGGAAAAGAGCGAUUAAAGUUGGCUUCACUCUCUUGGAAGCCGACUGCAGAAUGUGAACGUUGAUUGUAUAGCACAUUCUUUGCCUUUAAUGGGAGAAUGAAGUGAAAGACAUUCCAUGAUAUUCAGUCAGAAGAAGAAAGGACUGUAUUUCCCCUGGUUCCAGUAAAGAGCCAUAAUUAAGUAAAACCAAAUAGAAAAAUAGAGUGGAUAGGAAUGGGAAGAAACAAGGAGAAUACAAUGUGAAUCAUAUGGAAAUAAAAUAAAAAAAUUAAAAUGAGACAGAUGAGGGGGAA
Molecule: long non-coding RNA, 639 nt
Organism: Callithrix jacchus (white-tufted-ear marmoset)
Lineage: Eukaryota; Metazoa; Chordata; Mammalia; Primates; Cebidae
Source: RefSeq, a predicted model, not a curated record